RNAcentral lists this ribosomal RNA (1561 nucleotides) under uncultured delta proteobacterium. RNAcentral describes it as "bacterial SSU rRNA". It matches the Rfam family "Bacterial small subunit ribosomal RNA". The record is from RNAcentral. RNAcentral also lists the same sequence under 1 other name. Lineage: Bacteria; Deltaproteobacteria.
UCGGUUUCUGGGGCUCCUCUAGAGAUUAGAGUUUGAUCAUGGCUCAGAACGAACGCUGGCGGCGUGCCUAACACAUGCAAGUCGAACGAGAAAUUCCGAUUCGUCGGAAGAGUAGAGUGGCGAACGGGUGAGUAACGCGUGGGUAAUCUUCCCUUGAGUUCGGGAUAACUUCGCGAAAGCGGAGCUAAUACCGAAUAAAACUGACCUUGUUCCGGCAAGAUCAGUAAAAGAUGGCCUCUACAUGUAAGCUGUCGCUUGAGGAUGAGCCCGUGUACCAUUAGCUUGUUGGUAGGGUAAUGGCCUACCAAGGCUACGAUGGUUAGCUGGUCUGAGAGGAUGAUCAGCCACACUGGAACUGAGACACGGUCCAGACUCCUACGGGAGGCAGCAGUGGGGGAUUUUGCGCAAUGGGGGAAGCCCUGACGCAGCGACGCCGUGUGAGUGAUGAAGGCCUUCGGGUCGUAAAGCUCUGUCAGGUGGGAAGAAAUAUCUCGAUACGAAUAAUAUCGGGGUUUGACGGUACCACCAAAGGAAGCACCGGCUAACUCCGUGCCAGCAGCCGCGGUAAUACGGAGGGUGCAAGCGUUGUUCGGAAUUAUUGGGCGUAAGAGCGUGUAGGCGGUUGAACAAGUCAGAUGUGAAAUCCCUCGGCUCAACCGAGGAAGUGCAUUUGAAACUGUCAGCUUGAGUACGGGAGAGGAGAGCGGAAUUCCCGGUGUAGAGGUGAAAUUCGUAGAUAUCGGGAGGAACACCGGUGGCGAAGGCGGUUCUCUGGCCCGAUACUGACGCUGAGACGCGAAAGCGUGGGGAGCAAACAGGAUUAGAUACCCUGGUAGUCCACGCCGUAAACGACGGGCACUAGGUGUAGGAGGUACUGAAUCCUUCUGUGCCGAAGCUAACGCAUUAAGUGCCCCGCCUGGGGAGUACGGCCGCAAGGCUAAAACUCAAAGGAAUUGACGGAGGCCCGCACAAGCGGUGGAGCAUGUGGUUUAAUUCGAUGCAACGCGAAGAACCUUACCUGGGUUUGACAUCCCCGGACAGUCCUGGAAACAGGAUCUUCCCCUUCGGGGGACCGGGUGACAGGUGCUGCAUGGCUGUCGUCAGCUCGUGUCGUGAGAUGUUGGGUUAAGUCCCGCAACGAGCGCAACCCUCGUCCUUAUUUGCCAGCAUUAAGUUGGGCACUAUAAGGAAACUGCCGGUGUUAAGCCGGAGGAAGGUGGGGAUGACGUCAAGUCCUCAUGGCCUUUAUACCCAGGGCUACACACGUGCUACAAUGGCCGGUACAAAGGGUCGCAAUCUCGCGAGGGGGAGCUAACCUCAAAAAGCCGGUCCCAGUUCGGAUUGGAGUCUGCAACUCGACUCCAUGAAGGUGGAAUCGCUAGUAAUCGUGGAUCAGCAUGCCACGGUGAAUACGUUCCCGGGCCUUGUACACACCGCCCGUCACACCAUGAGAGCUGACUGUACCAGAAGUCGCUGGGCUAACCCCUGAGCUUGUCGAAGGGGAGGUAGGCGCCUAAGGUAUGGUUGGUAAUUGGGGUGAAGUCGUAACAAGGUAACCGUA